CUGUGAGCUGGGGAUUACAUGGACCGUUAUGGUUGUCGGAAUAUAUUUGAAAGCUCCACGGUUUAGCAGAAGAGAGAGCAAAGCAACGGCCAGAUAACUGCAGACCGGGAGUGGGACAUCAUUCGGUCUUGUCGGGACACUCCACAAUCAAGUAAAUUUCAGUCAGUUAGCUCGCUAGCUAGCAUAGCUGGUGGCAGCGUUAGCCCCGAGAUCCCAGGCGCAGUAAAAUGAAGCGUUAUUGCCCUUUGUUUUUAAGUCCGACUGGCAGACGUUGUAUGAGCGCUGAGAGCUGAAUGACCACACCGCUACGGGAAUUGGAUUACAUAAUGACUUAUUUUGCUCUAUUUAUUAAACUAUCAGCCGUUUUCAAAACAUUAUCUGGCUAAGCCCGUUUCGCUAGCCAGCUAACUCUAGAUUCUCCCGCGAGCCCGAAAAGCCAGGACUCCAAAAACUUCGCCAACACAGAACCUGACGCAGAGAAAAGGCUUUCCAUCUUCACCCAUAUUCCUACUCUGAUGUGAACUGAACUAAUAAAUCUGUUGGAGUCAUCCUUUUAAGUUGGGGAUCUGCCCUCAUAGCUGAAGAAAGUCGAGGUGUUUGGAUAAGUCAGGUUUUACUGGCAGUGUGCUUCUAACCCACCAGCAUGUACACUGGACAGUGGAUACUCUAGCCAAAACAGAUCCUGGCUUCCCAAAGAUGACAAGGUGCUGGCAGGCUACAAAAUGAUGGGAGGCAGUGAGACUGUCAGUGGGGACAAGGAUGGGGUCCAUACCACUGCAAUACACGUCCCCAUCGGCUGGCAAAGGAGAGUGGAAGGAGGUCAGGUAAUCUAUGUCAG
Molecule: long non-coding RNA, 838 nt
Organism: Archocentrus centrarchus (flier cichlid)
Lineage: Eukaryota; Metazoa; Chordata; Actinopteri; Cichliformes; Cichlidae
Exons: 3
Source: RefSeq, a predicted model, not a curated record